ACUUGGGAGGGCUCAUUAAACCAGACUGUUGGGCCCCACCCUUAUAGUUUCUGAUUCAGAAGUUCUGGGGUGGGUCCUGCGAAUCUGCAUCUCUAACGAGUUCCCAGGUGGCCCUUCUGCUGCUGGUUGGAACCCACACUGCGAGAAUCACUGGUCUAGCGGUAAAGGAUGGUCUUUGAAAUCACAGGAGGAAUGAUAAAGGGCAAGUACUUCAGGAACAAAACCAUGCUGACAUCUUCAAGGAACCAGAUAGGAGUGUCCCCAAAGAACUAUAUAGGACAGAAUGUGAGCGGGGGAGAGACAGAGAGACACAGAAUCCGAAGCAGGC
Leopardus geoffroyi (Geoffroy's cat) is the source of this 328-nucleotide long non-coding RNA. RefSeq lists it as uncharacterized. The transcript has 3 exons. The record is from RefSeq and is a predicted model, not a curated record. Lineage: Eukaryota; Metazoa; Chordata; Mammalia; Carnivora; Felidae.